GAAAUGCGAUAAGUAAUGUGAAUUGCAGAUUUCAGUGAAUCAUCGAAUUUUUGAACGCACAUUGCGCCCUCUGGUAUUCCGGGGGGCAUGCCUGUUCGAGCGUCAUUACAACCCUCAAGCUCUGCUUGGUAUUGGGCGUCGCCGGGUUCCCGGCGCGCCUCAAAGUCAGUGGCGGCGCCGUCCGGCUUCAAGCGUAGUAACAUACUCUCGCUCUGGAGCUCCGGGCGGUUGCCUGCCAGCAACCCCAAUUUUUACCACAGGUUGACCUCGGAUCAGGUAGGGAUACCCGCUGAACUUAA
Molecule: unclassified non-coding RNA, 299 nt
Filed under: uncultured Leotiomycetes
Lineage: Eukaryota; Fungi; Ascomycota; Leotiomycetes
Description: sequence contains ITS1
Rfam family: 5.8S ribosomal RNA (bases 1-105)
Source: RNAcentral